UGUUCCCAGCUAUAACACAUAACCUGCAUCAAAUCAAAAAACCAUUUAAGAUUCUAAAAACAAUUUCAGAAUUUUGACAUUAAGCUACUCCGUGCAUAAAUCAAAUAAAUAUUUAAAUUACAUGAGAUAACUUAAAAAUAGGUCUUCAAGAAUAUGUGGGAAAAAAUGGUUUAAAAUCAAUUCAUUAACAGCAGAAUUUCAUAAUUGUUCAACUUUGAUGACUGGGAUCCAACUAUCAGUACAUAACAAAAUCAAUUCAUUAACAGCAGAAUUUCAUAAUUGUUCAACUUUGAUGACUGGGAUCCAACUAUCAGUACAUAAC
This 322-nucleotide unclassified non-coding RNA is filed under the name Hevea brasiliensis (rubber tree). Lineage: Eukaryota; Viridiplantae; Streptophyta; Magnoliopsida; Malpighiales; Euphorbiaceae. The record is from RNAcentral.